AUUGCAUUGUUCCGAGUUCAGGGUACUGGACCUGAUAAUAUGCAAUCAAUUCAAGUAGAACCUGUGGCUUCAUCAUUGAAUUCCUCAUAUUGCUACAUAUUACACAGUGGCUCCUCUGUUUUCACAUGGACUGGAAAUCUUACCAACUCUGAGGAUCAGGAACUUGUUGAGAGGCAACUGGAUCUUAUCAAGCCUGAUAUGCAGUCAAAAUUGCAAAAAGAAGGGGCAGAAUCUGAGCAAUUCUGGGAAAUAUUGGGUGGAAAAUCUGAAUAUCCUAGUGAGAAGAUUGGACGGGAUGCUGAAGGCGAUCCUCAUUUGUUUUCAUGCACUUUCUCAAAAGGGGAACUAAAGGUGACAGAGAUCUACAAUUUCAACCAAGAUGAUUUGAUGACCGAAGAUGUGUUUAUCCUUGAUUGCCAUUCAGAUAUUUAUAUUUGGGUUGGCCAGAAGGUGGAGAACAAGAAUAAAAUGCAGGCUUUAGCCAUUGCCGAGAAAUUCCUGGAAUAUGAUUUUCUUAUGGAGAAG
Molecule: unclassified non-coding RNA, 525 nt
Filed under: Hevea brasiliensis (rubber tree)
Lineage: Eukaryota; Viridiplantae; Streptophyta; Magnoliopsida; Malpighiales; Euphorbiaceae
Source: RNAcentral